RNAcentral lists this non-coding RNA (26 nucleotides) under Mus musculus (house mouse). The record is from RNAcentral. Lineage: Eukaryota; Metazoa; Chordata; Mammalia; Rodentia; Muridae.
UGCCAUCAAGAAGAGGCUGAAACCUA